This 384-nucleotide RNase P RNA is filed under the name Verrucomicrobiota bacterium. Its description in RNAcentral is "Verrucomicrobia bacterium (hydrothermal vent metagenome) RNase P RNA component class A". It matches the Rfam family "Bacterial RNase P class A". Rfam says of the family: Ribonuclease P (RNase P) is a ubiquitous endoribonuclease, found in archaea, bacteria and eukarya as well as chloroplasts and mitochondria. Its best characterised activity is the generation of mature 5'-ends of tRNAs by cleaving the 5'-leader elements of precursor-tRNAs. Cellular RNase Ps are ribonucleoproteins. The record is from RNAcentral. Lineage: Bacteria; Pseudomonadati; Verrucomicrobiota.
UGGGAAGGGCGGAGGAUCGCUUCCAAUUUAUUGGGAGAGGAAAGUCCGAACACCGCAGGACACGAUGCCGCGUAACCCCGGUUCCGCCGGGGAUACAUUCGGGCAGCUCACUCGCGAGGGUGGGUUGACGGAAAGUGCCACAGAAAAUAUACCGCCACGGUUCGCCGGGGUAAGGGUGAAAAGGUGGGGCAAGAGCCCACCGCGCCAAGCGCAAGCAAGGCGGCACGGCAAACCCCAUCGGGUGCAAGGCCAAAUAGAGGGCACGGGCGGUCCGCCCCCGAAUCGGAAACGGUUCAAGCCCCGGGUAAGGCCGCAACAGAUAAAUGAUCCUCUCCGCAGGGCAACCCGCGCAGACAAAAUUCGGCUUACAGCCCUUCCAAGGUU